RNAcentral lists this ribosomal RNA (754 nucleotides) under uncultured bacterium. RNAcentral's name for it is "bacterial SSU rRNA". It matches the Rfam family "Bacterial small subunit ribosomal RNA", at positions 66 to 835 of the family's 1533-position model. The record is from RNAcentral.
AGAAGUUUUCGGAUGGAUUUUGGGGUACCCUUUUGGGGGACGGGUGAGUAACACGUGAGCAACCUGCCUUUGAGAGGGGAAUAACGGCUGGAAACGGUCGCUAAUACCGCAUAACGUACGGAUGGGACAUCCUGUCUGUACCAAAGAUUUAUCGCUCGAAGAUGGGCUCGCGUCCGAUUAGGUAGUUGGUGAGGUAACGGCCCACCAAGCCGACGAUCGGUAGCCGGACUGAGAGGUUGAACGGCCACAUUGGGACUGAGACACGGCCCAGACUCCUACGGGAGGCAGCAGUGGGGGAUAUUGCACAAUGGGGGAAACCCUGAUGCAGCGACGCCGCGUGUGGGAAGACGGUCUUCUGGAUUGUAAACCACUGUCCCCAGGGACGAAAAUGACGGUACCUGGGGAGGAAGCUCCGGCUAACUACGUGCCAGCAGCCGCGGUAAUACGUAGGGAGCAAGCGUUGUCCGGAAUUACUGGGUGUAAAGGGAGCGUAGGCGGGGAUGCAAGUUGGGUGUCAAAACUACCGGCUCAACCGAUAGUCGCACUCAAAACUGCAGCUCUUGAGUGAGGUAGAGGCAGGCGGAAUUCCUAGUGUAGCGGUGAAAUGCGUAGAUAUUAGGAGGAACACCAGUGGCGAAGGCGGCCUGCUGGGCUUUUACUGACGCUGAGGCUCGAAAGUGUGGGGAGCAAACAGGAUUAGAUACCCUGGUAGUCCACACCGUAAACGAUGAUUACUAGGUGUGGGGGGUCUGAC